CCUUUGGGCCCAACCUCCCAUCCGUGUCUAUUGUACCCUGUUGCUUCGGCGGGCCCGCCGCUUGUCGGCCGCCGGGGGGGCGCCUCUGCCCCCCGGGCCCGUGCCCGCCGGAGACCCCAACACGAACACUGUCUGAAAGCGUGCAGUCUGAGUUGAUUGAAUGCAAUCAGUUAAAACUUUCAACAAUGGAUCUCUUGGUUCCGGCAUCGAUGAAGAACGCAGCGAAAUGCGAUAACUAAUGUGAAUUGCAGAAUUCAGUGAAUCAUCGAGUCUUUGAACGCACAUUGCGCCCCCUGGUAUUCCGGGGGGCAUGCCNGUCCGAGCGUCAUUGCUGCCCUCAAGCCCGGCUUGGGUGUUGGGUCGCCCUCCCCCUCUCCGGGGGGACGGGCCCGAAAGGGAGCGGCGGCACCGCGUCCGAUCCUCGAGCGUAUGGGGCUUUGUCACAUGCUCUGUAGGAUUGGNCGGNNCCUGCCGACGUUUUCCAACCAUUCUUUCCAGGNUGACCUCGGAUCAGGUAUGGAUACCCGCUGAACUUAAUCAUAUCAAUAAACGGAGGAAAAGAAACCAACCGGGAUUGCCUUCANUAACGGCGAAUGAAUCGGCAAUAGCUCAAUUUGAAAGCUGGCUCCUUCCGGAAUCCGCAUUGUAAUUUGCAGAGGAUGCUUUUGGGUGCGGCCCCCGNCUAAAUGCCCCUGGAACGGGGCUU
RNAcentral lists this ribosomal RNA (706 nucleotides) under fungal sp. MX568. RNAcentral describes it as "eukaryotic LSU rRNA". The stretch from base 175 to 328 matches the Rfam family "5.8S ribosomal RNA". Lineage: Eukaryota; Fungi. The record is from RNAcentral.